CUUAAUAUGAACGUAACUUUUAUUGUAAAUCGUGUCUUUUUUGUCAUGUAAUUUAAAUUAAUGAGAGAAAAUAAUAUAUUCCAAAUCUAUUUGUUCCUAUGAAUUACGGCGCUUCUUUCUUUUAAGAGUCAUAGGAUAAAAGAGGGUCUAGAAAAGGAGGGAGGUGGGUGUUCUUUAAUUCUUAAUAUUAUUUACGCCAUGCAUGUUUUCUUUAUUCUAUACAAAUUUUGCACGUUAUUCUCUAUUCUUUAUAUUCUAGAAGCCCACUAUUCUUUAUUCUUAAAUUGUUAGCCUAUCUUUUUCUUUUCUAUUUAUUUUUUUCAUUUUCAAUGCAGUUUCGUGUUCCCCUGCAAGUGGUCAAUUUUUCUUUGUAUUCCACAGCUGUGUACUAAUAUCAAGAUAACACGAUACUGAAUGGCAUAUCUCCCGAUUUCUAAUUUUUUUUACACACACUUUUACUUUGAAUCGAGUUACAUCGGAAUGAAACAGAUAUUUUGUCUAGUGUUGUAGACUAUAUGUAUAUAAAGCAAUCUAUGGAAUUGCGAAAAUAAGCUCCACAUUGGUCAAUUAUAUACUUAUAAUAUAGAAUAGAAUAGGAUAGAAUAGAAUAGAAUAUUUUUAUUAACCAAAUAAGGGCCCCAGGAGGGCAUAUAGCAUACAGACAAUAUUAUUAUAAACAAUAACAUAUGCAAUACACAGACAAUACAAGAUAUAUAACAAGUGUUAACAAAAUAAUAAAAUAAAAGUAGCAAUGUAUUAUUAUUCAAUGAAUACUUUGUUGACAUCAGUGACUCAAGUGCACCCGGUAAGUGCAUUUUCACUUUGAAAAGACCAACAAGAGGCAUUAGUAGUUUGUGGGGAGAAAAUAUAAAAAAAAAUAAAAAAAAAAAAACAAUUUAAGCACUCGCACAUUUGACCAUGAGGUAUACUGCAAAUAACAAGUAUUAUUGUAUAGCAAUAUAAUAUUUCCCACAGAACGUAACCAAAAGUUAGCGUGCAAUAAAUUCUAAUAUUGCACUAGUUCAAUAAAUUUUCAAAAUUCAUGACGUCAUCAACGUUUAAAUCUUAGUUUAAGCCAAUUUUUACUGUCAAAUAUUAUAUUGCUAUACAAUAAAAGGGUUAUUGCAUGAAUAUUGGGGAAUAUUGUCCCUCGUAGAACAUAUAUUGCACUCUCAAGC
RNAcentral lists this long non-coding RNA (1178 nucleotides) under Mytilus galloprovincialis (Mediterranean mussel). Lineage: Eukaryota; Metazoa; Mollusca; Bivalvia; Mytilida; Mytilidae. The record is from RNAcentral.